This is a long non-coding RNA of Dermochelys coriacea (leatherback sea turtle), 261 nucleotides long. RefSeq lists it as uncharacterized. Lineage: Eukaryota; Metazoa; Chordata; Testudines; Dermochelyidae. The transcript has 4 exons. The record is from RefSeq and is a predicted model, not a curated record.
GGAACACAUGAGGAAGGGUUUACCUAGUAGGCCAGAGAGAGAGAGAGAGAGAGAUUAGGAAGGUUAGUGAAGGAGAAGCAGGAUACCAAAUACUGCUUCCAAGGCUCUUGGCUGUCAUGAGCACAAAAAUACUACAGUGGGGUCCUUGCAAAUUCUGUGUCGCCUGAUUCUGGGACAAGAAUCUUAUUAUCUUCUGAUCAGAUUAAUUGGCACAGAGACAUGAAUCUGAAAGAAGUGCCCUGUAAAGAUAGGUUGGGAAAA